GACGAACGCUGGCGGCGUGCCUAAUACAUGCCAGUUGAGCGAUGAAGCUUGGUGCUUGCACCAAUUUGAAGAGCAGCGAACGGGUGAGUAACGCGUGGGGAAUCUGCCUUUGAGCGGGGGACAACAUUUGGAAACGAAUGCUAAUACCGCAUAACAACUUUAAACAUAUGUUUUAAGUUUGAAAGAUGCAAUUGCAUCACUCAAAGAUGAUCCCGCGUUGUAUUAGCUAGUUGGUGAGGUAAAGGCCCACCAAGGCGAUGAUACAUAGCCGGCCUGAGAGGGAGAUCGGCCACAUUGGGACUGGGACACGGCCCAAACUCCUACGGGAGGCAGCAGUAGGGGAUCUUCGGCAAUGGACGGAAGUCUGACCGAACAACGCCGCGUGAGUGAAGAAGGGUGUCGGAUCGGAAAACUCUGUUGGUAGAGAAGAACGUUGGUGAGAGUGGAAAGCUCAUCAAGUGACGGUAACUACCCAGAAAGGGACGGCUAACUACGUG
RNAcentral lists this ribosomal RNA (497 nucleotides) under uncultured bacterium. RNAcentral describes it as "partial 16S ribosomal RNA". It matches the Rfam family "Bacterial small subunit ribosomal RNA", at positions 28 to 507 of the family's 1533-position model. The record is from RNAcentral.